RNAcentral lists this long non-coding RNA (2740 nucleotides) under Homo sapiens (human). RNAcentral describes it as "HSALNT0039065". Lineage: Eukaryota; Metazoa; Chordata; Mammalia; Primates; Hominidae. The record is from RNAcentral.
GAAGCAUCAGACACUGGGGGGCGCUUCUUGAACAGGCACUGGGCUAGACAGCCCAGACCUCGCGGAAACAAAGCGGGAAGGGGCCGCUCCUGGGGAGUUUUUCCCAGCUUCCCUGGGCCGGUGAGGGGUCCUGGCGUCCUGAACUGGAGAUGCUCCUUAGAGGGCACUGCUUCAGCCACCCCUGCCUUAGCAUACAUACGGGUCCCACAGGGGUCCUUCGACACCAGCUCAUCGUCUGGGUUCCACCAUCCACCCACGCACUCAUUUGGCAGCUAUCAACGGAGUAUUCACAGUACGCUGCUCACAGUUCUAACCGCGGAGGAUAGAGUUGAGGCCCACACGACAGCCCCUGCUCUCACAGAACUGAUGUCUCUAGAAGAGUCUUCCCUCAGUGAGAACGUUCUGAUUUCUAGAACAUUCUUUCUUCUGAUGAGUGAACAGCCUCACCGGAACUUCCCCAUCCUCCUGGCUUGGUUCCUGAAGUGGCCCAAGGCUGCCUUCUCCCUCCCGUGGGUGAACAGGGUCACUGCUUCCUCUCUUGUCCAGGCCCCCUGGCCUGACCCUGAGUCCCGGGCGUAACGGCGUUGUUGAACCACCACAACCCCAGGCGGCGCCUUCCUCUUGGCCCAGGGGCUCUCUUGGGGACAGUGUGCAGUACUCCCCAAGGGGGCUUUGCUGUGCAAAAGCAGCCCCUGCCGAUGCUGCGGCUCCCGUGGAUGGAGCACUGCCGUGGGAACAGAGUUGGAACUCAUCCAAAAGAAUAAAAGACAACUGUGUUGGAAGAUUGCCAAGGUUUGUAGCUGUGCCACCGCAGACUUCAGAGAUGAACACUGCCUUGGAGACGAGGAGGAUUCAAGUUGCAGAAGCAUUUAGAAACAGAUGUUGUUUUUGGUGAUGUAAGUUACCAGGGUUGGGGGUCUGAUCUGGAGGAACUGGGAGGCACACAGAUACACUCCAGGAUGGAAUGCAGGCAGAAAUCAUGACCUCCAUCCACCUUUAACUUUCCAAGGCCUGGCCCAUAAACCCUCCCUGUCAGGCUUCCUGGUACCUCUUCCCUGGCUGCUAGCUGGAUGCUGAGGCCCUGGGGUGCUGAGCCACUGGUGGAGUGAAGCCUGGGCCUGAAAGGCUGGGUGAAACAGAAGUCAUGGGAUGGGCAGAAGAUGCUGAUCUAGGCUGAUACCUGGCAAACCCUACCUUGUCCUGCCCCUGACACUGCAGAUCUGAGGACGCGCUGGGGGAGCCGAGCAUCCAGGUCAGUGAGUGGAGGGAAUUUUUGUCCAACGUGCACCUUGACAGAGCUUCACUGACCACGGGCGGUGUCUCCCUGCUGCCACGCAGCACACCUCUGACCACAGACCUCUCUCCAGAGCCACGUGUUUGCUUCUCACCUGACAGGCUCUGUGAGAGCCCAUCUGUGCUUCCCUGGGAUGUCUGACCGCACGCAUCCCCCACUGUGCAUGGGAGCCCUGCUGGGCCCGUAGGUGGAAUUAUUUCUCAGUUUUAAUCUGAGUACAUAAUUGAGGCUUGUGCCAGCAAGGACUCCCAUCGCUUUCUUUCCUCACACUCCACACGUAGUGCUGCUCAGUGAUUUUACUGUUCCUCUAGGAAUGGCUCCCACCUGCUUAGAGUAUAAGAUUUAUCUCCUUAGCACACCAUGGGAAGUCUCCUAAAAUCCAUCCACUGCUUAUCUCUUUGGCCUCAGCUCUUGGCCCCCUGUGAUGAAACCCUGAUCUCUAGUCAUGCAGAGGUGCUUGCAACUUUCUGAAAGCUCCUUUCAAAGGUGCCUUUGCCUUCUGUUCCCUAUCCCUUCAGGGUCCUUCCCGGCUAGCCACUGCUCCUGGCUAAGUUCUGAGAGGUUGCAUCCACCUCGCGGGAGUGUUGGCCAUUUUCUCCCUUCGAGGUCCUUAUUGUUGGCCUUUCUCUCUUUCCCUACUAGACUCUAAGCUCCCUUAGAGUGGGGCCUCUGUCUCACCCAUCUCUCUGUGGCCCCCAUCUAGUGUGCGGUCAAGGCUUGCUGAGAGCUGCCUUUUCAUGUGUAUUAUGACAAUUCAGCCCAAUGACAAGUGGCUCACUCCAUCUCCAACACGCUCCUGUCAACCUUCCUUUUCCCUGGGUCUCUUCAGUUUAACCUUUUGUGGGCAUACCAUCAUGCAUUAGUUGGAAUCAGAUUGAUACUGGAGGUGUUUUUGUUUUCCAGAAAUGUCUGGGGAAAGUGUGCCUGUGUACUUUUCAUGUAUGUCCGUCGGAGGAAAAGUUUUCAUCAUUCAUUUAUUCUUGUAUCGAUUGCACAAAAUUGCUUAAGAUUCUCCUCUGUGUGUGGUUCCAUGGGAGCUUGGACCACUUUACAUGAUGAAUAGGACAGAGUAGAGUCCCUUUUGGGAAACAGGCAUCUGUAAAAUGCUAUGGGUACAUAAAGAGCCACCUAAUGGAAAUGGGUCACAGCUGGCACUCCAAAGGAGGCAAUGUCUGAGCUGAAUUGGAAGGAAAAGCAGGCAUUUGCCAAUGAGAACUUGGAGGGUUCUCCAGGAGCAGGGCGUGCAGAGAGCCCAUUGAGUGGAGGCGUGUAGGGAGCCAUGGGGACUUUGGUUUAUCUUAAGAACAAUAUGUGUUUGUGUGUACAAGGGAGGGGGCAGAAUAAGGAAUGGCAGAUAAAGCUGAAGAAGUGAGUAGAGGCCAGAUCACAGGGUCCUGACUGUGUCCUGGAUAAACACGGGGAUGCUGGAGGUUUAAUCAGGGUCAU